AUACGAGGGGUGCAAGCGUUGUUCGGAAUUACUGGGCGUAAAGGGAGCGUAGGCGGAGAUUCAAGCGGAUUGUACAAUCCCGGGGCCCAACCCCGGCUCUGCAGUCCGAACUGGAUCUCUUGGAUAGUUCAGGGGCAGGCGGAAUUCCUGGUGUAGCGGUGGAAUGCGUCGAGAUCAGGAAGAACACCGAUGGCGAAGGCAGCCUGCUGGGGACUUAUCGACGCUGAGGCUCGAAAGUGCGGGUAGCAAACAGGAUUAGAUACCCUGGUAGUCCGCACCGUAAACGAUGCAUACUGGGUGUCCGGGGGUUCCCCCGGGUACCGUAGCCAACGCGUUAAGUAUGCCGCCUGGGGAGUACGUACGCAAGUAUGAAACUCAAAUGAAUUGACGGG
RNAcentral lists this ribosomal RNA (392 nucleotides) under uncultured bacterium. RNAcentral describes it as "partial 16S ribosomal RNA". It matches the Rfam family "Bacterial small subunit ribosomal RNA", at positions 523 to 917 of the family's 1533-position model. The record is from RNAcentral.